AGCGUUGUUCGGAAUUACUGGGCGUAAAGCGCACGUAGGCGGCUACUCAAGUCGGGGGUGAAAGCCCGGGGCUCAACCCCGGAACUGCCCUCGAAACUAGGUAGCUAGAAUCUUGGAGAGGUCAGUGGAAUUCCGAGUGUAG
RNAcentral lists this ribosomal RNA (142 nucleotides) under uncultured Alphaproteobacteria bacterium. Its description in RNAcentral is "partial 16S ribosomal RNA". It matches the Rfam family "Bacterial small subunit ribosomal RNA", at positions 537 to 678 of the family's 1533-position model. The record is from RNAcentral. Lineage: Bacteria; Pseudomonadati; Pseudomonadota; Alphaproteobacteria.